RNAcentral lists this ribosomal RNA (1359 nucleotides) under uncultured prokaryote. RNAcentral's name for it is "partial 16S ribosomal RNA". It matches the Rfam family "Bacterial small subunit ribosomal RNA", at positions 27 to 1391 of the family's 1533-position model. The record is from RNAcentral.
GGAUGAACGCUAGCGGGAGGCUUAACACAUGCAAGUCGAGGGGCAGCAUUUACUUCGGUAAGAUGGCGACCGGCGAACGGGUGCGUAACGCGUAUGCAACCUACCUUAUACAAAAGGAUAGCCCAUGGAAACGUGGAUUAACACUUUAUGGUACUAUAAAACUUCCUGGUUUAAUAGUUAAAACUUCGGUGGUAUAAGAUGGGCAUGCGUAGGAUUAGGUAGUUGGUGAGGUAACAGCUCACCAAGCCGACGAUCCUUAGGGGUUCUGAGAGGAUUAUCCCCCACACUGGUACUGAGACACGGACCAGACUCCUACGGGAGGCAGCAGUGAGGAAUAUUGGGCAAUGGAGGCAACUCUGACCCAGCCAUCCCGCGUGCAGGAUGACGGCCCUAUGGGUUGUAAACUGCUUUUAUUUACCAAGAAACCCCAUCACGUGUGAUGGCUUGACGGUAGUAUAUGAAUAAGGACCGGCUAACUCCGUGCCAGCAGCCGCGGUAAUACGGAGGGUCCAAGCGUUAUCCGGAUUCAUUGGGUUUUAAAGGGUCCGUAGGCGGUCUUUUAAGUCAGUGGUGAAAUCCCAGAGCUCAACUCUGGAACUGCCAUUGAAACUGAAAGACUUGAAUAUGGUUGAGGUAGGCGGAAUACGUUAUGUAGCGGUGAAAUGCAUAGAUAUAACGUAGAACACCAAUUGCGAAGGCAGCUUACUAAACCAUUAUUGACGCUGAUGGACGAAAGCGUGGGGAGCGAACAGGAUUAGAUUGGUAGUCCACGCCGUAAACGAUGAUUACUCGUUGUGCACAAUACACCGUGCGUGACUGAGCGAAAGCAUUAAGUAAUCCACCUGGGGAGUACGUUCGCAAGAAUGAAACUCAAAGGAAUUGACGGGGGCCCGCACAAGCGGAGGAACAUGUGGUUUAAUUCGAUGAUACGCGAGGAACCUUACCUGGACUUAAAUGUAGAUUGAUCGGUUUAGAAAUAGACUUUUCUUCGGAACUAUCUACAAGGUGCUGCAUGGUUGUCGUCAGCUCGUGCCGUGAGGUGUCGGGUUAAGUCCCAUAACGAGCGCAACCCCUAUCGUUAGUUGCUAGCAGGUAAUGCUGAGGACUCUAGCGAGACUGCCACCGUAAGGUGUGAGGAAGGUGGGGAUGACGUCAAAUCAGCACGGCCCUUAUGUCCAGGGCUACACACGUGUUACAAUGGUCGGUACAAAGGGCAGCUACUUGGCAACAAGAUGCUAAUCUCUAAAGCCGAUCCCAGUUCGGAUUGGAGUCUGCAACCCGACUCCAUGAAGUUGGAUUCGCUAGUAAUCGGAUAUCAGCCAUGAUCCGGUGAAUACGUUCCCGGGCCUUGUACACACC